AAAUUGAAGAGUUUGAUCAUGGCUCAGAUUGAACGCUGGCGGCAGGCCUAACACAUGCAAGUCGAGCGGCAGCGGGAAAGUAGCUUGCUACUUUUGCCGGCGAGCGGC
Molecule: ribosomal RNA, 108 nt
Filed under: Aeromonas caviae
Lineage: Bacteria; Pseudomonadati; Pseudomonadota; Gammaproteobacteria; Aeromonadales; Aeromonadaceae
Also listed under: 5 other names
Description: partial 16S ribosomal RNA
Rfam family: Bacterial small subunit ribosomal RNA
Source: RNAcentral